UGUAACUCAGUGGUAGAGCACUUGCCUCACAUGCAUGAGGUCCUGGGUUCAAUUCUCAGUA
RNAcentral lists this transfer RNA (61 nucleotides) under Ictidomys tridecemlineatus (thirteen-lined ground squirrel). RNAcentral's name for it is "Spermophilus tridecemlineatus (thirteen-lined ground squirrel) tRNA". It matches the Rfam family "tRNA", at positions 6 to 65 of the family's 71-position model. Rfam says of the family: Transfer RNA (tRNA) molecules are approximately 80 nucleotides in length. Their secondary structure includes four short double-helical elements and three loops (D, anti-codon, and T loops). Further hydrogen bonds mediate the characteristic L-shaped molecular structure. tRNAs have two regions of fundamental functional importance: the anti-codon, which is responsible for specific mRNA codon recognition, and the 3' end, to which the tRNAs corresponding amino acid is attached (by aminoacyl-tRNA synthetases). tRNAs cope with the degeneracy of the genetic code in two manners: having more than one tRNA (with a specific anti-codon) for a particular amino acid; and 'wobble' base-pairing, i.e. permitting non-standard base-pairing at the 3rd anti-codon position. The record is from Rfam by way of RNAcentral. Lineage: Eukaryota; Metazoa; Chordata; Mammalia; Rodentia; Sciuridae.